RNAcentral lists this long non-coding RNA (7390 nucleotides) under Citrus sinensis (sweet orange). Its description in RNAcentral is "long non-coding RNA (CSIN_LNC002192)". Lineage: Eukaryota; Viridiplantae; Streptophyta; Magnoliopsida; Sapindales; Rutaceae. The record is from RNAcentral.
CACUCGUUGACCCUGCAUCUGGACAAGCUAGUUAACCUCAAUCUAAACAAUUGCAAAAGCUUGAGAAUUCUUCCAGCUGGAAUAUUUCGUUUGGAAUUUCUUAAAGAACUUGAUCUUUGGGGUUGCUCAAAACUAAAAACGCUUCCAGAGAUCUCAUCAGCUGGUAAUAUAGAAGUGAUGUAUUUAAAUGGAACUGCAAUUGAAGAAUUGCCUUCAUCCAUAGAAUGUCUAUCUGGGCUUUCGGCCUUAUACCUUGAUCAUUGUAAAAGGCUGAAGAGUCUCCCAAGCAGCCUAUGUAAAUUGAACUCUCUGAACUUUAUUUAUCUCAGGUGGUGCUCAAGUCUUAGGAGUUUGCCUGAUGAACUUGGAAAUUUAGAAGCUUUGGACAGUUUGAUUGCUGAAGGAACUGCUAUAAGAGAAGUGCCGUUGUCCAUUGUUUGUUUGAACAAUUUUGAUGGCUUGCAAAAUCUAACGUCUUUAUAUCUAACUGAUUGCGGCAUCACGGAGUUACCUGAAAAUCUCGGUCAGUUAUCCUUAUUACUUGAAUUGUAUCUAGAGAAAAACAAUUUUGAGAGAAUACCAGAGAGCAUCAUACAUCUUUCUAAGUUGGCAUAUCUUAAAUUGAGUUAUUGUGAGAGGCUUCAAUCCUUACCAAAGCUUCCAUGCAAUCUAAGUGAGUUAGAUGCACAUCAUUGCACAGCACUGGAAUCAUCUCCAGGUUUAGUAUUCCCAAGUCGUGAUCCUCAGUAUUUUGAGCUAAGAAAUAAUUUGAAAUUGGAUCGCAACGAGAUCAGGGAAAUUCUCGAAGAUGCUCAGCAAGAAAUUCAGGUUAUGGCAAUAGCACGUUGGAAACAAUUACAGGAAAAGGUAUGUUGUGUCUUUUAUGAUCCUUUUAAUCUAUACAAUGUUAUUGAGUAAUGAUCUAGUGGGCGAUAGUGCUCAUCUUAUGGAGAGCGAGAGUGGCACAUCGCAUUGCUUAAUUAAUCCACAGCCUUAACGCUAUUCACUGGGAGUUGUAGAAUUCUGCCACAUAUCCAAAUGCUCAUCCAUAUGGUGGGCACUAGCGCUCACUAGAUCAUCGUUCCAAUGCUAUUUUGUUAAUUUUUUAUUUAAAAUUAAAUUUAACAACAUUUCUUCAAAAUUAUGAUCUUUGGUACAGGGAGAUUUUUUCCAAAGUUCAGGUCGAGUAUUAUUACCUGGGAAUGAAAUUCCAAAGUGGUUUAGCUUUCAAAGUUUGGGAUCUUCUUCUAUAACCUUGAAGAUGCCACCUGUAGGUUGGUUCAGUAAUAACAAAGUGAUUGGCUUUGCUUACAGCGCUGUUGUAGGAUUUCGAGACCAUCAUGUCAAAGAGAAGAGGUGGUUUAACUUGUUCUGUGAAUUCAUGAAAGCCAAACCUGAAGAUUGUACUGAGCUACUGGUCAGACGGAGUUCUCUAAGGGGAUUUAAUUAUGUAGAGUCAGAUCACUUACUUUUGGGGUACUAUUUCUUUGGUGAGCAUGAUUUUAGUGCUUUCCAGAAACACAACUGCGAUCAUGUGGCAGUCAAGUUCUAUUUAGAGGAUGAUCAUAAUCAACGUGAACGUUUGGAUUGUUGCCCGGUGAAAAAAUGUGGGAUUCAUUUAUUGUACGCCCCUGAUUCUACGGAACCCACAGAAGAUCCAAGGAGUACUCUCGGUUGAAGUAUUCUUUAAGGCAUCAUAGUAGCUGCUACUUUUCAGUAAAUUAAUAAAUCUUAUAUUCAUAAACCUUGUUUUGCUAGCUUGGUUUCUUUUCCUUCUAUCUGUUUUUAUUACUUUUCUUUAAUUCUUUUCUUCCCAUAUAUAAAUAAUUGGCUUCAAAUAUUCAUAGGGAGAUACUUGUUUUCCUUGAAUUGCCUCGUUGCAGUAUUGAACAACUUUCGGAGAGCGUCCAGGUGUGCAAUGUCAAUAAUAUUUAAUUAUCAUACACGCUACUGAUCUGCAUGUAAUGGCUUCUUUUUUGGUGAAAGCAGAAUAAUUCAUUGGUAACGCUUGAUUAAUCUCUGGUUAUAGUACUCAAUAGAUUUAGUGAGACAUUUCGUCAAACAGGUAGGUUGUAAAAAUUAUAUAGCCUAUGGUAAAAAAUUUGAAUUAGGAUAUAGAGAUACAAAGACAGGAAAAUUCUUUUGUAAUAAUUGUAAAGAUAAACAACAUGAAGACAAUACAAUAGAAAUUAGUGAACUAAUAAAUACAACCUAACCCGCACUCAUAAAAAUUAUAAAUUAUUAAACUCACCCAUAAUCGGCAGUGGGUUUUUUAUUUUUUUUAAAAAGUCCAUCUAUUGCUGGUUUUAGGGGUGGUAAAAAUACAUGUCUGAUCUAAACUCUGGCGAUGUGGACCGGAUAAUGCUAAGCUUGGGUAUGAAGCCAAACUUGUCUUGGGCAUCACUUUAUAAACUCAAGACUCGACCCAAAACUUAAAUUUUAUUAAAAAAGUAUUAUAAAAUGUAUAUUAUUUUUAAUAUUUAUAUUUAUUUGACUGAUCUAUUACAUAUAGAUAAAAUUUUAAAUAUUUGAAGUUUAAAUUUUCAUGUUCGAUUUCAUUGAAAUAAAUUUAAAAAUUAUAAAAUUAUAAAAAAUUAUAAAAAUACAUAUAUAAUAAUAAAAAAAUACAAAAUACUGGGCACAAAAACCUGGAUUAAAAAACUUGGACUGGGUGUUUAAAAAUUACAUCAGGGCCAGGUCCAAGCAUUUCGAUACUUAGACCCGAACCUGAGAUUUAACAAUUAACAAACUAACCUAUAGCACCGAGUAAAUUUUUUUUAUAAGUUUUCUCAUUUAAAAUCAUAAAUAUAAAAAAAAAAUACUUUUAAUAAUACAUAAAAAAUUAAAUUAAGUGAUUCAAAUAUAAAUUUAUAACCCCUACAAAAUUCGUGUACAAAAUUCAAUUCUAAAUUUUACCAAUGAAAAUAAGAAAUUAAAAUUCCAACAUUAAAAAAAAAACAAAAUAUACUAAAUCUGACUUACAAAAUAAAAAAGAAAAACAAUAAAUAGCUGAUAGUAAUCUACUUUACAAAUUAUUAUCAUAUCCCAAAUCAAUUUUCUAAUCAUCAAAAUCUCUAAUCAAUUGAAUUGUUUCUGUUGUUAUGGCUUCUUCUUCUUCUUCUCGUCCAUCCAGCAGUUUGAGUUCGAUGAAUAAUCCUCGAAACAAUAAGUAUGAUGUUUUCCUGAGUUUCAGAGAAGAGGAAACCAGUGAUAGCUUUACUAGCCAUCUUUAUUCAGCCUUGUGUGAAACGAGUAUCGAAACUUUCAUUGAUGACCAACUCGUCAGAGGAAAUGAAAUCUCACAGUUUCUUCUUGAUGCAAUUGAAGCAUCAAGCAUAUCAGUUAUCGUAUUCUCUGAAGGGUAUGCUUCUUCCAGAUGGUGCCUCGAUGAACUUCUAAAGAUCCUCGAUUGCAGGAAAGAGUAUGCACAGAUUGUGAUACCAGUUUUCUAUCGGGUCGAUCCAUCACAUGUGAGAAAGCAAAUUGGGAGUUUUGGGGUUUCAAUUUCGGAGCUUGAAAAAAGAUUUCCAGACAAGAAACAAAGUUGGGGGAGUGCUUUAACUGAAGCAGCCAAUCUCUCUGGCUUUGAUUCUCAUGUCUUCAGGUAGCAGUCAAUUUAUUACCAAUUUUAUAAUUAUUUUUAUUUACUCAAGUUCUAGUAUUAUAUGAAUAAUUUUAAAAGCAAAAAAACUGUCUCAAAUCCGAACUAAUUAAAAACUCUCCUUUUUGUCUCUUUUUGAACUUAAUACUAUGUUUCUUGUAUUUGCUAGGAAUGAAUCUGAACUUAUAAAGACAGUUGUUGAUGAGAUUUUGGAGAGCCUGCCUAAAGUGGUUCCAUUUGAUAACAAAAAUCAGCUAGUUGGAGUAGAAUCAAGAGUUGAGGAAAUUGAAUCUCUAUUAGCUGCUGCACCUAUAUUAGGGAUUUGGGGCAUCGGUGGUGUAGGCAAGACAACAAUUUCUAGGGUGAUUUUCAACAAAAUCUCCAGAAAUUUUGAAGGUUCCUGCUUCCUUCAAAAUGUAAGAGAAGAAUCGCAGAGCCCUGGUGGAUUAGCUAGGUUGCAGCAAAAACUUUUUAAAGAAGUAUUGAAGGAUGUAAGCGUGAUUCCUGAUAUUGACUUCAACUUUAGAAGGCUCAGCCGCAGGAAGGUUCUGAUUGUUCUCGAUGAUGUGACUAGUUUCAGACAAAUAAAAUCCUUAAUCAGAGUUUCUGAUUGGUUUCUGCCUGAAAGUCGUCUCAUACUGACCACAAGAGAUCAACAAGUCCUUAAAAAUUGGGUUGUGAAAGAGAGAGACAUUUAUGAGAUGAAAGAAUUAGAACACGAUCAUGCCCUUGAGCUUUUUAGUCGACAUGCCUUCAAACAAAACUGCCCUCCUGAAGUAGGUUAUAAGGAAUUGUCAGAGAUUGUAAUAAAUUAUGCUCAAGGUGUUCCUUUAGCACUGGAAAUUUUGGGUUGCUAUCUAUUUGGAAGGGAAAAGGAAGUUUGGGAAAGCGCAAUAAACAAAUUGAAAAGAAUUCCUAAUUUGGAGAUACAAAAUGUGCUAAAAGUAAGUUUCGAUGAUCUGGAUGAUGAAGAGAAAGAUAUUUUUCUAGACAUUGUUUGUUUCUUUAAAGGGAAAGAUAAAGACUUCAUUAUAAAAUUUCUUAAUGCUUGUGGCUUUGAUGCACAAAUAGGAAUAAGUGAUCUUGUCAAUAAGUCUCUUAUUGUCAUACACGACAACAAAAUAACAAUGCAUGAUCUGUUACAAGAAAUGGGUAGGGAAAUUGUCAGGCAAGAAUCUGUGAAAAAUCCAGGAGAACGCAGUCGGCUGUGGCACCAUGAGGAUAUUAUUGAAGUUUUGACCUUUAAUACGGUAAGCAUUUUGUUUGAGACUUUAUAUUAUUUGUGAAUGCUAUUGGAUUUGUAAACUUUACUUAUAAUUAUGUAUAAGUACAUGGGACAUAAGAUCAAUAGAAGAACUGGCAAUAAUAAAAAGGAAAAAAAAAUAUUGCAAUGUCAAUUUACAACUAAAAGUCUGGCAAACAGACAGAGAUACGUUACAAUGUCAAUUUACAUCUAAAAGUAUGGCAAAUUAACAAACAUAGAUACUUUAUAUGUUUAGUAUUGUUUGUAUUACUAUGUUUCUUUCGUACAUAGGCAUGUCCAUACUUCAUGGAUACUUUAUAUGCUUAGUAUUGUUUGUAUUACAAUGUUUCUUUUGUACGUUGGCUUUCAAUUAACUUGAACAUUAAUUUAAAUUUGAAUUUAACUUCCUGGUCUUUCAUUGAUUGUUAGGGGACCAAAAAAGUUGAGGGUAUCUGCUUUGAUAUGUCUAGAAUAAAAGAGAUCUAUCUGCAUCCAGAUACUUUCACAAAGAUGUGUAAAUUGAGAUUUUUGAAAUUCUAUAACUCUAAAGAUGAUGGAGAGAACAAAUGUAAGGUGUCUUAUUUGGUAGGACCUGGAUUUGCUGAAGUGAGGUAUCUUCACUGGUAUGGAUAUCCACUAAAAUCAUUGCCGUCAAAUAUUCAUCCAGAGAAACUUGUUUCAAUUGAAAUGCCUCAUGGUAAUAUUCAACAACUUUGGGAUGAUGUCGAGGUAUAUAAAAUCUUAAUAUUUAUGCAAUGUUUCAGUAAUAAUGUUUAAUUAUUUAUCGUACUUAAAUGCUAACAAUUUGUAUGUCUGGGCUUCUAAUUUUUUUGGAGCAGCAUAAUGGUAAGUUAAAGCAGAUAAUAAGCCGGGCCUGCAAUUUUUUCACCAAAUCUCCAAACCACUCGUUGACCCUGCAUCUGGACAAGCUAGUUAACCUCAAUCUAAACAAUUGCAAAAGCUUGAGAAUUCUUCCAGCUGGAAUAUUUCGUUUGGAAUUUCUUAAAGAACUUGAUCUUUGGGGCUGCUCAAAACUAAAAACGCUUCCAGAGAUAUCAUCAGCUGGUAAUAUAGAAGUGAUGUAUUUAAAUGGAACUGCAAUUGAAGAACUGCCUUCAUCCAUAGAAUGUCUAUCUCGGCUUUCGGCCUUAUACCUUGAUAAUUGUAAAAGGCUGAAGAGUCUCCCAAGCAGCCUAUGUAAAUUGAACUCUCUGAACUUUAUUUAUCUCAGGUGGUGCUCAAGUCUUAGGAGUUUGCCUGAUGAACUUGGAAAUUUAGAAGCUUUGGACAGUUUGAUUGCUGAAGGAACUGCUAUAAGAGAAGUGCCGUUGUCCAUUGUUGAGAUCAAUAGAAGAACUGGCAAUAAUAAAAAGGAAAAAAAAAUAUUGCAAUGUCAAUUUACAACUAAAAGUCUGGCAAACAGACAGAGAUACGUUACAAUGUCAAUUUACAUCUAAAAGUAUGGCAAAUUAACAAACAUAGAUACUUUAUAUGUUUAGUAUUGUUUGUAUUACUAUGUUUCUUUCGUACAUAGGCAUGUCCAUACUUCAUGGAUACUUUAUAUGCUUAGUAUUGUUUGUAUUACAAUGUUUCUUUUGUACGUUGGCUUUCAAUUAACUUGAACAUUAAUUUAAAUUUGAAUUUAACUUCCUGGUCUUUCAUUGAUUGUUAGGGGACCAAAAAAGUUGAGGGUAUCUGCUUUGAUAUGUCUAGAAUAAAAGAGAUCUAUCUGCAUCCAGAUACUUUCACAAAGAUGUGUAAAUUGAGAUUUUUGAAAUUCUAUAACUCUAAAGAUGAUGGAGAGAACAAAUGUAAGGUGUCUUAUUUGGUAGGACCUGGAUUUGCUGAAGUGAGGUAUCUUCACUGGUAUGGAUAUCCACUAAAAUCAUUGCCGUCAAAUAUUCAUCCAGAGAAACUUGUUUCAAUUGAAAUGCCUCAUGGUAAUAUUCAACAACUUUGGGAUGAUGUCGAGGUAUAUAAAAUCUUAAUAUUUAUGCAAUGUUUCAGUAAUAAUGUUUAAUUAUUUAUCGUACUUAAAUGCUAACAAUUUGUAUGUCUGGGCUUCUAAUUUUUUUGGAGCAGCAUAAUGGUAAGUUAAAGCAGAUAAUAAGCCGGGCCUGCAAUUUUUUCACCAAAUCUCCAAACCACUCGUUGACCCUGCAUCUGGACAAGCUAGUUAACCUCAAUCUAAACAAUUGCAAAAGCUUGAGAAUUCUUCCAGCUGGAAUAUUUCGUUUGGAAUUUCUUAAAGAACUUGAUCUUUGGGGCUGCUCAAAACUAAAAACGCUUCCAGAGAUAUCAUCAGCUGGUAAUAUAGAAGUGAUGUAUUUAAAUGGAACUGCAAUUGAAGAACUGCCUUCAUCCAUAGAAUGUCUAUCUCGGCUUUCGGCCUUAUACCUUGAUAAUUGUAAAAGGCUGAAGAGUCUCCCAAGCAGCCUAUGUAAAUUGAACUCUCUGAACUUUAUUUAUCUCAGGUGGUGCUCAAGUCUUAGGAGUUUGCCUGAUGAACUUGGAAAUUUAGAAGCUUUGGACAGUUUGAUUGCUGA